Molecule: ribosomal RNA, 253 nt
Filed under: uncultured bacterium
Lineage: Bacteria
Description: partial 16S ribosomal RNA
Rfam family: Bacterial small subunit ribosomal RNA
Source: RNAcentral
UACGGGGGGAGCAAGCGUUGUUCGGAUUUACUGGGCGUAAAGGGCGCGUAGGCGGCGCAACAAGUCACUUGUGAAAUCUCCGGGCUUAACCCGGAGCGGCCAAGUGAUACUGUCGUGCUAGAGUGCGGAAGGGGCUACUGGAAUUCUCGGUGUAGCGGUGAAAUGCGUAGUUAUCGAGAGGAACACCUGCGGCGAAGGCGGGUAGCUGGGCCGACACUGACGCUGAGGCGCGAAAGCCAGGGGAGCGAACGGG